This 1746-nucleotide unclassified non-coding RNA is filed under the name Anneissia japonica. RNAcentral describes it as "uncharacterized LOC117117968, transcript variant X3". The record is from RNAcentral. Lineage: Eukaryota; Metazoa; Echinodermata; Crinoidea; Comatulida; Comatulidae.
AGGAGGAAAAAAAUCGAGUUUUUGAGCUUAUAGCUAAACGUUUAAACGGUCUGGGAUAUGAUAUACGACGGCACAGCACGUUUGUAGCAAAUUAAAAAACCUUAAGUAGAUCGAUGUAUAAAGAGUGUAGAGAAGAGGAGGCCACAAAAUCUGGAGAAUGGACUCCGACCUGGAAAUUUUAUUGGAGGGUUCACAAGAACUUGGGUGGACGUCCAAUGGUGGAUCCCAUAGAAGGCACUCUCGGUGAAUCCUAUUACCUCCUUCUAGGGCUAGGCCUAGGCCUAGACAGCCGGAAACGUCCAGCCUUGAUAACUUUUAUAGCAGUGAGACUGAGAACACAACUGCUGAAGCUUUUGCAAUUCUUCAACAACAAUCCUUGGCUAAAAUAUCAGGACCCAUAUGUGUGGUGUGCACGAAGGAAUGUGCUUCACACAAGUGUUUUAAAUGCAGAAGGCCUGUCCCUAUUAUACCACCAUGCUUAGGUGAAGGUCCAAGUGUUAUAGAAGAAGGUUAUGAUGUAGACGUGAGGUGUGCAAUAUGUUUCGAUGGUGCUUUGUCCGAUACAUCAACGCCUAGUAAACGGAGGCUGGAAAGUGAUGAAAGCUACAAUGACUCGAAGCUUUAAGACCCGAAGCAGACAUCAUUAAUAUAGCCGAUAAAGGUACUGUUUCAGAUGCAGAACAAACUCCUAUCAAAAGAUGGGAGAAACACUGGUACGCUGCCCAAAAGUGAACAAAAUGUUAGGUCACUUGCAAAGCAUUUAAAGGACCAGAUGAGGGAAAAUAAUAGAUUUUGGAAAUCAGCAAUGAAGGAGCAAAUGGAGCAAGUAAAAGAAAUUACUGAAGAGGAAAGAGCAGCAAUAAGCCGUCUGCAUAAUACGCUUAAUGAAGGUUUAAAGCUACAGCAGAACUAUGUCGCCACAACUCAAAGAAACCAAGAGCGGUUGCUGGCUGUAUUCGAAAGAAUGGUACCAGCACAACCACAGCAAUUGCAGCUUCAUCCCAACCUGUUUCCAAAUCCUUUUUUGGGCAACUUGAAUAGCAACAAUUAUUAACUUUAUCUCAAAUCUAGUCUUGCAUAUAUACAGUAUGCAGUUCAUCAUUCAUUGACCAUAUUGACUCAUUAAUUAUACUGUAUUUAAAUUUAAAGCAUUUAUCCAUCCCAUUGAUGCACUGUUUAAAGUAAAAUUACUUGUUAUGUUCUCUGUUGUAUUUAGAAUUUAUUAGCCCCAGUUUCCCUAGCAAUACCAAUUUUAAAAAUCAAGAUUUGAUUUCUCAGCUUGGGCAGAUGCAGGAGAUCGCAUCCCCUCCUUGCCAAAUUAUAUUUAUAUAAAUGGAUUGUUGUAUUUUUUAUAUAAAUUACAGUACCAGUUAGAUUUUAAAGUUAUGAAAGUGCAAUUUCUGGGUUCGUAUUCUUAAAAUUUUCAUGCCUUACCCACAACCAUUUUGGCGCUGAGAUGGUGUGGACUCGCACCCCCUACAGCCAAAUCCUGCAUCUGCCCCAGCUCAGACGUCGUCAAAAUAAUAAAUUGUGUGAAAUAUUGUUACAUUUUUAAUUUAUAUAGUGUGAUAUGUACAGUUCUAUAAAAAAAAAAAAAAAAGAUCCCCAUAAUAGGGGUUGAAAAUUUAUUUAUUUGACCUUUUUGGGUUGGGUUUGUAGUGAUAAAGGAAAGGUUGCCAUGUGAUGUAGUUGUUAAUUUUUGUGUUAUUGUUUAAUAAAUGAAGCUUGCUUCCAAAGAGAAAAGAA